RNAcentral lists this ribosomal RNA (445 nucleotides) under uncultured bacterium. RNAcentral describes it as "bacterial SSU rRNA". It matches the Rfam family "Bacterial small subunit ribosomal RNA", at positions 330 to 792 of the family's 1533-position model. The record is from RNAcentral.
ACCAGACUCCUACGGGAGGCAGCAGUGGGGAAUAUUGCACAAUGGGGGAAACCCUGAUGCAGCGACGCCGCGUGAGCGAUGAAGUAUUUCGGUAUGUAAAGCUCUAUCAGCAGGGAAGAAAAUGACGGUACCUGACUAAGAAGCCCCGGCUAACUACGUGCCAGCAGCCGCGGUAAUACGUAGGGGGCAGGCGUUAUCCGGAUUUACUGGGUGUAAAGGGAGCGUAGACGGCAAUACAAGUCGGAAGUGAAAUACCCGGGCUCAACCUGGGAACUGCUUUGGAAACUGUAUGGCUGGAGUGCUGGAGAGGUAAGCGGAAUUCCUAGUGUAGCGGUGAAAUGCGUAGAUAUUAGGAGGAACACCAGUGGCGAAGGCGGCUUACUGGACAGUAACUGACGUUGAGGCUCGAAAGCGUGGGGAGCAAACAGGAUUAGAUACCCGAGUA